RNAcentral lists this ribosomal RNA (1960 nucleotides) under human gut metagenome. RNAcentral's name for it is "bacterial LSU rRNA". It matches the Rfam family "Bacterial large subunit ribosomal RNA", at positions 3 to 1980 of the family's 2925-position model. The record is from RNAcentral.
UCAAGCUACUAAGGGCAUACGGUGGAUGCCUUGGCACUAAGAGCCGAUGAAGGACGCGGUAAGCUGCGAAAAGCCACGGGGAACUGCAAGCAAGUCUUGAUCCGUGGAUGUCCGAAUGGGGAAACCCACCAUCCGUCAUGGGAUGGUAUCCUACGGGAGGGGAACCCGGUGAACUGAAACAUCUAAGUAGCCGGAGGAAGAGAAAUCAAACGAGAUGCCCACAGUAGCGGCGAGCGAAGAGGGCAGAGCCUAAACCAGUCAUCUUCGGAUGGUUGGGGUUACGGACCUGCAUCAACCGAGUCCUACCUAGUCGAAUUACCUGGAAAGGUAAGCCAGAGAGCGUAAGAGCCGCGUAGGUGAAAGGAGGGACGAGGGGGCAGGAAUCCAGAGUACCACGAAGCACGAGGAAUUUUGUGGGAAGUCGGGGGGACCACCCUCCAAGGCUAAACACUUCUUAGUGACCGAUAGCGCAUAGUACCGUGAGGGAAAGGUGAAAAGAACCGCGGGAGCGGAGUGAAAGAGAACCUGAAACCGUAUGUCUACAAGCAGUCGGAGCGCAAGCGACGGCGUGCCUAUUGAAGAAUGAGCCAACGAGUUACGGGCACCAGCGAGGUUAAGCAGGAAAUGCGGAGCCGGAGCGAAAGCGAGUCUAAACAGGGCGAAUAGUUGGUGUUCGUAGACCCGAAACUGUAGUGAUCUACCCAUGAUCAGGUUGAAGCGCAGGUAAAAAUGCGUGGAGGACCGAACCGGUGAGCGUUGAAAAGCUUUCGGAUGAAUCGUGGGUAGCGGUGAAAUUCCAAUCGAACGCAGAGAUAGCUGGUUCUCCUCGAAAUAGCUUUAGGGCUAGCCUCAAGCAGUAAGCAUAGGCGGUAGAGCACUGAUCGGGAUAGGGUCCGUAAAGGAUACCGAACCCUGUCAAACUACGAAUGGUUAUGCUGCAGAGCUUGGGAGUCAGACUACGAGAGAUAAGUCCCGUUGUCAAAAGGGAAACAGCCCAGACCGUCAGCUAAGGUCCCCAAUGCCAUACUAAGUGGAAAAGGAUGUGGGGUCUCAUAAACAACCAGGAUGUUGGCUCAGAAGCAGCCACCAUUUAAAGAGUGCGUAAUAGCUCACUGGUCGAGAGGCCCUGCGCCGAAGAUUCCCGGGGCUAAAGUAUGGAACCGAAGCUACGGAUGCGGUACUUGUACCGCGUGGUAGAGGAGCGUUCCCAUUGGGUUGAAGUCGUCCUGGAAGGGACGGUGGACUGGUGGGAAGUGAGAAUGUUGGCAUGAGUAGCGAAAAGAUAGGUGAGAAUCCUAUCCACCGAAAGCAUAAGGAUUCCUGAGCAACGAUCGUCGUCUCAGGGUAAGUCGGGACCUAAUCCGAGGCAUGGAGCGUAGGAGAUGGACAACUGGUUGAUAUUCCAGUACCGGCAGCAAUCGUUUGAACGAUGGAGUGACGCAGGAAGGCAGGUCCGCGCGAGAAUGGUAGAUCGCGUACAAGCGUGCAGGCUGGUGCACAGGCAAAUCCGUGUACUGAGGCUGAGGCGUGAUGUGGAGGGAACUUGUUCCCGAAGGGAUUGAGCCUACGCUGCCGAGAAAAGCUUCUAGUGAGAAAGCUGCCGCCCGUACCGUAAACCGACACAGGUAUGCGGGGAGAGAAUCCUAAGGUGCGCGGGAGAACCCUCGUUAAGGAACUCGGCAAAAUGUACCCGUAACUUCGGGAUAAGGGUAGCCACAGUGGUGAAGGGACUUGCUCCUGGAGCCUAGUGUGGUCGCAGAGAAGAGGCCCAAGCGACUGUUAACCAGAAACACAGGUGCCUGCGAAAGAGAAAUCUGAUGUAUAGGUGCUGACACCUGCCCAGUGCUGGAAGGUUAAAGAAGGAUGUCCGGGUUCGACCCAAAGCAUUUGACUGAAGCCCCAGUGAACGGCGGCCGUAACUAUAACGGUCCUAAGGUAGCGAAAUUCCUUGUCGGGUAAG